AAAGGCAGUUAGUACUCAGUGAUUUAAGUUAAUUAAUUAUCUGUAAAGAGGUAAAAUUUAAAUACAGUUAUAUAAAUUUAUAUUAACUAGGUUAGUUGAAUCUGCGAUACCCUUGAGGGAAACUGGGAUCAGAUACCCCAUUAUUCUUGGAUGUAAAUAUAAUUGAAUUUACCAGAGUACUAUGAACGAAAAAGCUUAAAACUCAAAGGGCUUGGCGGUGUUUUAGACCUUUCAGGGGAACCUGUCUCAUAAUCGACAAUCCGCGUUAAACCUAACCUUUUUUUGUAAACAGUCUGUAUACCGUCGUCGUCAGGUAACUUUUAAAAAACUAAGAGUUAGCAAAUUAAUUUUAUAAAUUUAAACGUCAGAUCAAGGUGCAACUAAUAAAAAGGUAGAGAUGGGUUACAAUUAUAUAAUUAUAUAUCGAAAAAUUACAUGAAUAACUAUUUAGAAGGAGGACUUGAAAGUAAAAUUGAUUAUAUAAACAGUUUGAAUAAGGCUCUGAAACGUGCACACAUCGCCCGUCGCUCUCGUUGAAAAAUGAGAUAAGUCGUAACAUAGCAGGGGUAAUGGAAAUUGUCCCUAGACU
RNAcentral lists this ribosomal RNA (589 nucleotides) under Latiromitra sp. MZUR BAU00612. RNAcentral describes it as "partial 12S ribosomal RNA". The record is from RNAcentral. Lineage: Eukaryota; Metazoa; Mollusca; Gastropoda; Neogastropoda; Turbinellidae.